AUUGAACGCUGGCGGCAUGCUUUACACAUGCAAGUCGAACGGUAGAGGGGGCAACCCCUUGAGAGUGGCGAACGGGUGAGUAAUGCAUCGGAACGUGCACAGUCGUGGGGGAUAACGCAGCGAAAGCUGUGCUAAUACCGCAUACGAUCUCUGGAUGAAAGCGGGGGACCGAAAGGCCUCGCGCGUUUGGCGCGGCCGAUGUCAGAUUAGGUAGUUGGUGGGGUAACGGCUCACAACGCCAACGAUCGGUAGCUGGUUUGCGAGGACGACCAGCCACACUGGGACUGAGACACGGCCCAGACUCCUACGGGAGGCAGCAGUGGGGAAUUUUGGACAAUGGGCGCAAGCCUGAUCCAGCAAUGCCGCGUGCAGGAAGAAGGCCUUCGGGUUGUAAACUGCUUUUGUACGGAACGAAAAGGUCUGGGUUAAUACCCUGGGCACAUGACGGUACCGUAAGAAUAAGCACCGGCUAACUACGUGCCAGCCGCCGCUGUAA
This 496-nucleotide ribosomal RNA is filed under the name uncultured bacterium. RNAcentral's name for it is "partial 16S ribosomal RNA". It matches the Rfam family "Bacterial small subunit ribosomal RNA", at positions 30 to 523 of the family's 1533-position model. The record is from RNAcentral.